RNAcentral lists this small RNA (249 nucleotides) under Peromyscus maniculatus bairdii (prairie deer mouse). Its description in RNAcentral is "7SK RNA (ENSPEMG00000002219.2)". It matches the Rfam family "7SK RNA", at positions 3 to 251 of the family's 331-position model. From Rfam's summary of the family: 7SK was discovered as an abundant small nuclear RNA in the mid-70s but a possible function has only recently been suggested. Two independent studies have found that 7SK RNA binds the CDK9/cyclin T complex (known as elongation factor P-TEFb). P-TEFb activates transcription by phosphorylating the C-terminal domain of RNA polymerase II. Lineage: Eukaryota; Metazoa; Chordata; Mammalia; Rodentia; Cricetidae. The record is from RNAcentral.
GCAUGAGCGCAUUCUGGUUGAGACGUCCAUCACCUCGCUGAUGGCCAGGGUUGAUUCAGUUGAUGUGGCUGGCUGGGUGGGUGCCUGCUUCCUCCCUCACCACUCCACAGGCAUCUUUCCCAAAGCUGCGUGCUCAGCUGAAGAGGACAACCUUCCCUACAGAUGCAGACCGAUCUUCAGUCAAGGGUGCACAGGUAGCUGUGCUCCCCUGCAAGCAGCCUGUUGAGAAUAUGACACGUGCCAGCCCUG